CCUACGGGUGGCUGCAGCUAAGAAUCUUCCGCAAUGGGGGAAACCCUGACGGAGCGACGCCGCGUGGAUGAUGAAGGCCGUAAGGUUGUAAAAUCCUUUUGUUGGUGAAGAAUAAGCGGGGGAGUGGAAAGCCCCCGUGAUGACGUUAGCCGACGAAUAAGCGCCGGCCAAUUACGUGCCAGCAGCCGCGGUAAUACGUAUGGGGCAAGCGUUGUUCGGGGGCAUUGAGCGUGAUGAUCAUGUCGGCUGCGAAAACGCAAGGCCUAACCUUGUGUGUGCGCUGGAAACUGGUGGGCUUGAGUUCUUGAGGGGAAGCUGGAAUUCCAGGUGUAGGGGUGAAAUCUGUAGAUAUCUGGAAGAACACCGGUGGCGAAGGCGAGCUUCUAUCAGAGGACUGACGCUGAGGCGCGAAAGCGUGGGGAGCAAACAGGAUUAGAUACCCCGGUAGUC
This 450-nucleotide ribosomal RNA is filed under the name uncultured bacterium. RNAcentral describes it as "partial 16S ribosomal RNA". It matches the Rfam family "Bacterial small subunit ribosomal RNA", at positions 338 to 795 of the family's 1533-position model. The record is from RNAcentral.